GCAAGUCGAACGGUAACAGAGAAUAGCUUGCUAUUUUGCUGACGAGUGGCGCACGGGUGCGUAACGCGUAUGCAACCUACCUUUUACUGAGGGAUAGCCCAGAGAAAUUUGGAUUAAUACCUCAUAGUAUCAUAAAUGUUCAUGCAUUAAUGAUUAAAACUUCGGUGGUAAAAGAUGGGCAUGCGUAAGAUUAGCUAGUUGGUAAGGUAACGGCUUACCAAGGCGACGAUCUUUAGGGGGCCUGAGAGGGUGGUC
RNAcentral lists this ribosomal RNA (255 nucleotides) under uncultured bacterium. RNAcentral describes it as "partial 16S ribosomal RNA". It matches the Rfam family "Bacterial small subunit ribosomal RNA", at positions 57 to 305 of the family's 1533-position model. The record is from RNAcentral.